This 357-nucleotide ribosomal RNA is filed under the name Triticum aestivum (bread wheat). RNAcentral describes it as "partial small subunit ribosomal RNA". Lineage: Eukaryota; Viridiplantae; Streptophyta; Magnoliopsida; Poales; Poaceae. The record is from RNAcentral.
AUGAGGGGUAGGGCGAAAUCCCUCUUGGGUCCGCCCGGCACCGAUGCGGUGACGCCUGCGGGCGCCAUCAACCUUCUUGAAGGGAGUCGGGAGUAUCUCUCCCCCGCUUCCCUCCGUGUACCGGGAGAAAUCCUAGGAUUCAUCCGGGCAGCAGCAUCGUCGUCGUCGCAGUCCUUCUUGAAGGUGUUUCUUGGUUCGCGGCGACUCGAUGGCAUUGGAGCGUGGUGGAUGUCUUCGGUGGGCGCAACGGUUGCGGGAUGCUUAGCUUUCGUUCAUCCGGUGCUGCUGGCAUUUCUUUCUCUUGCUUUUCUCUUAUUUUUCUUUUGGGCAUGGUUGUGCUGUUUGCCCCAACGUUGA